GGGGUUGUGGCUCAGUGGCAGAGUGCUUGCCUGGCAUGUGUGAGGCACUGGGUUUGAUUCUCAGCACCCCA
This 71-nucleotide transfer RNA is filed under the name Marmota monax (woodchuck). It matches the Rfam family "tRNA". Rfam says of the family: Transfer RNA (tRNA) molecules are approximately 80 nucleotides in length. Their secondary structure includes four short double-helical elements and three loops (D, anti-codon, and T loops). Further hydrogen bonds mediate the characteristic L-shaped molecular structure. tRNAs have two regions of fundamental functional importance: the anti-codon, which is responsible for specific mRNA codon recognition, and the 3' end, to which the tRNAs corresponding amino acid is attached (by aminoacyl-tRNA synthetases). tRNAs cope with the degeneracy of the genetic code in two manners: having more than one tRNA (with a specific anti-codon) for a particular amino acid; and 'wobble' base-pairing, i.e. permitting non-standard base-pairing at the 3rd anti-codon position. Lineage: Eukaryota; Metazoa; Chordata; Mammalia; Rodentia; Sciuridae. The record is from Rfam by way of RNAcentral.